CUGCCCCCCGGCCCGGGAUAGCCCAGGGAAACCUGGAUUAAUACCGGAUGAGACGGGACCCGCGAAGGCGGGACCCGGGAAAGGCGCUGCGGCGCCGCCGGGGGAUGAGUCUGCGUCCCAUUAGCUAGACGGCGGGGUAACGGCCCACCGUGGCGACGAUGGGUAGCCGGCCUGAGAGGGUGGACGGCCACAUUGGAACUGAGACACGGUCCAGACUCCUACGGGAGGCAGCAGCUAAGAAUCUUCCGCAAUGGGCGAAAGCCUGACGGAGCGACGCCGCGUGAACGAAGAAGGCCGUGAGGUUGUAAAGUUCUUUUCGGGAGGGGGAACAACCGUGGCAGGGAAUGGCCGCGGGAUGACGUGAAUCCCGGAAUAAGCCCCGGCUAACUACGUGCCAGCAGCAGC
Molecule: ribosomal RNA, 405 nt
Filed under: uncultured bacterium
Lineage: Bacteria
Description: bacterial SSU rRNA
Rfam family: Bacterial small subunit ribosomal RNA
Source: RNAcentral